This 827-nucleotide long non-coding RNA is filed under the name Ananas comosus (pineapple). Its description in RNAcentral is "long non-coding RNA (ACOM_LNC038818)". Lineage: Eukaryota; Viridiplantae; Streptophyta; Magnoliopsida; Poales; Bromeliaceae. The record is from RNAcentral.
UAAAUUUUGUAGAUUUUGAUUUCAAACUUUAAUUUUUUAUUUUGAUUUUGAUAUUUGAACUUGUAUUUAAAAUUAAAAUUUUAAUUUAAAGUGAUAUUAAUAGUUAUAAUAAUUUACUAUUGUAUUAUCUUUCCGCCACAUCGAACUUAUUAAUCAGGAAUCCUUACAGGUUUGAACUGCUCUCCGCAUCCUGCGGAAGGUCUGCAAUAAAUAAUAUUUUAAAAUAUUAAUGCAUAAUCAAAAAAAUAAUAUUAAUAGUUAUAAUAAUUUACUGUUGUAUUGUCUUCCCGCCGCAAAGCGCGGGCCCCUUAACUAGUUAUCUAUGAUGUCGUGUAUCUGGCCGUCUAAACGGACAUGUUUUUAUAGAGUCCCACAUCAAAUAAAAAAGAGGUUAUAAUUACACAUAAUGAUUAGAGACUGUAGUUUUAACAACUGUUGUGAGAUCCCAUAUUGUUCUAUAUAUAAGAUAUAAUAGAAUUAAAAUUCUUAACCCGACUUAAGUAUUUUGAGCAGUGAUUAGACCCAAGAGGUUAAAAAAAUUAAACGGGCUAGGACGAAAGUAGUCCUAGGAUUGGCGGUCCUCUGAAAAAUCGGAACGUCACAGUUGGUAUCAGAGCGAAUUAUCAGCCGGAAGUAUGAGAUAAGUCUCAAUUGAGUCAGAAUUAUACAGCAGGAAGAGCGAGGCUCUCAUGCUAUUGACUGUUGUGGAUGGAGCGCAACUCACCACAAGAUCGGUUUAAACUAGCGAGACGAGUUUCAUAUCGCCUGAUACUUGUCAAUCUAAGUUUGACAAGAACGUCGGGGCUUAAGGGGGGAGAAUAUAAAAU